GAUGAACGCUAGCGGCAGGCCUAAUACAUGCAAGUCGGACGGGAUUGGAGAGCUUGCUUUCCAUGAGAGUGGCGCACGGGUGCGUAACACGUAUGUAACCUACCAUUGUCAGGGGGAUAGCCUCUCGAAAGAGAGAUUAACACCGCAUAACAUGAUUGAAUAGCAUUAUUUAAUCAUCAAAUAUUUAUAGGACAAUGAUGGGCAU
This 205-nucleotide ribosomal RNA is filed under the name uncultured bacterium. Its description in RNAcentral is "partial 16S ribosomal RNA". It matches the Rfam family "Bacterial small subunit ribosomal RNA", at positions 28 to 232 of the family's 1533-position model. The record is from RNAcentral.